UACGUAGGGGGCAAGCGUUGUCCGGAUUUAUUGGGCGUAAAGAGCUCGUAGGCGGUUGGGUAAGUCGGGUGUGAAAACUCCAGGCUCAACUUGGAGACGCCACCCGAUACUGCUCUGACUUGAGUUCGGUAGGGGAGUGGGGAAUUCCUGGUGUAGCGGUGAAAUGCGCAGAUAUCAGGAGGAACACCGGUGGCGAAGGCGGAUCUCUGGGCCUGUCCUGACGCUGAGGCGCGAAAGCUAGGGGAGCGAACAGG
Molecule: ribosomal RNA, 254 nt
Filed under: uncultured bacterium
Lineage: Bacteria
Description: partial 16S ribosomal RNA
Rfam family: Bacterial small subunit ribosomal RNA
Source: RNAcentral